GUGCCCCUUUUUUGCCCACUCUGGACCACAAGUGUCCUUGGUGUCUAACACAGGGGGGUAGAGUAGCACUCUCAUAAACCUGUAGUGAAGGCAUGCAUCCUCACUGCGGAUCCUGUCGGGAGAAACAACC
Small nucleolar RNA from Amphilophus citrinellus (Midas cichlid), 130 nucleotides. Lineage: Eukaryota; Metazoa; Chordata; Actinopteri; Cichliformes; Cichlidae. The record is from Ensembl.